RNAcentral lists this ribosomal RNA (210 nucleotides) under uncultured archaeon. RNAcentral's name for it is "partial 16S ribosomal RNA". It matches the Rfam family "Archaeal small subunit ribosomal RNA", at positions 310 to 520 of the family's 1478-position model. The record is from RNAcentral.
ACGAUAUCAGGCCCUACGGGGCGCAGCAGGCGCGAAAACUUCGCACUGCGCGAAAGCGCGACGAGGGAAUCCCAAGUGUAUGCACGCAAGUGUAUACUGUUUCUUUGUAUAAAAAGCAAAGAGAGUAAGAGCUGGGUAAGACGGGUGCCAGCCGCCGCGGUAAUACCUGCAGCUCGAGUGGUGAUCGUUAUCAUUGGGCCUAAAACGUCC